ACAAGCUAAUUGGAGCAACCAUUUCCCUAUAAAUAGGGACUUCAUUCUUUUGGUUUUGGUUACCAACUAGUGCACGGGUUGGACGCUGUAGUGAGAUAUAUGGCUACAUGCAAGCAUGCAUGUUAAGCCUUUGUAGAGAAGAAUUUUUUUUGUUAAUCUUUCGAAAUUCGUAACUUUCAAUCCAAAAUUUCGAUUGAGGAAUAGUUUUCGUCUACAUGUUCAGUGAAUCGAGCUCAACAUUCUAAGGUAAAUUUUGAGGAAUUAUUAUUUAGGUUUGAAUAAUUCGUUCAAAUUGGGUUUAUGACUAAUUAGGCUUAAAUCUUCGAUUCAAGCUUGUUCUUGCAUAAUUUGAGGGCUUUGAAGCCUAUUUGAUGACUGGACAACGAUUUCUCAGACAUUAAGGUAAAGAUUUACAUAUGAUCAGAUUUUUGGGAUUUUUGUACAAGUUUCAUAUGGAUGAGAUUUAGAAAAAAAAUUGAUGUUUGACUCGAAAUUCAUCAAAUUUAGUCCUUAAAGGACGUUUGUAUGGAAGAAGUGAGUUGUACUAUUGAUGGAUUGUGUUUUGGCUUGAAAGAUAUGUUGAAUUUCUGGGAAAAUAGACCUCAAAGCCACUGGUUUCAUACCAGGGACUGAACUACAAAAAUAGUUUUAGUUUUGGGGUAAUUGUGUAAAUUACUAAAAGUUUGGGGUCCAAAGUGCAAUUAUCAAAAAUUUUGGGAUCUAUUUGAAAUAAUAAAAAGUUCAAAUACAUAAUUUUUAUUCUGGUUAAGUGAAGGUCCCUAUUGGAUAUAGUUGUUGUUAUGGGAAUAAAGUUUAGUCAUUAUAUAUGGACAUAUAGUGGCAUAUUGUAAUUGUUGAACUAGGGACUCCAAUUACUCGUAGUGCUUGCGUUUAAUCGAGGUAUUGGUGAGGAAUAUUGCUUGCUUGGCUUGGAGACCAGGUAGGAGAAUCCUCACUUACCCUAGUUAUGGAAUUUUGUGCAUGUAUGUAUAUGUAAAUAUACGAAUGCCUAUGAAAGCUACAUAGAUUUUGUUGUGAUAGAACCAUAAGGAAAAAUGGUUUUGUUUUAUAUCAUGAUAUACAUGUUGUUUUAUGCUACAAAUUAAAGUGAUGACUUGAGAGUGAAGGGGGCAUAGCGACCGCCUUGGGUUUCGAUCCCCUAAACCUCCGGAGGGGAUACUACAAAGGGAUUAGUAUCGCUACCUUUCUAGGAGAGGUACUAGGACAUCUAAGGGUAGAGCAUUAAGGGACACUCUCGCUACAACUUACCAUAAGUAUAUUCGUUCGGAGUUGGUCCAGGUAAGCGAGUAGUUGGUCAUUAGACUGGUCAUCAGGCAUGUAGCAAUUUAUUGGGAUCCCUAUUGUUUUUUUAAAGGAAAUUGUGUGAGCAUAUAACCUAUUUUCAAAACUAAACAAAGCUUUUGUUGUGCAUCAAUCAUUUUCCUAUAGUAUAUAUAGUGUCGUAUACUAUUUUCAAACCUAGCUGGGGUGGAUUCCCUGAGGGGGAACGAUGAACGUUUGUGAUGCUUACCAUUACUUUAUUACAGGUCUGGUGCACCUAUAAGUAGACGAACUGGACAAAAGUCGGGACUAGCGUUGUUUGUUACUUGUCAACUUCUCAGUUGUUCAUAGCCUCAUCGUCUUGAAGGGAUUUUUGUAGCCAAACUCAACGUUUUGCAUUUUCAAAUCGUACUAAAGAGUUGGUUUAGUAUGAUAAUUACCUUAAACUCUUUGGUUUUGUUGUAGAUUGUGAAAUUCUUUUCCUAUGUAAAAAUUUUAUCCAAAUUCAGUUGCCCUUUUAUUCUUCGUUUUAC
Molecule: long non-coding RNA, 1814 nt
Filed under: Malus domestica (apple)
Lineage: Eukaryota; Viridiplantae; Streptophyta; Magnoliopsida; Rosales; Rosaceae
Description: long non-coding RNA (MDOM_LNC004022)
Source: RNAcentral